RNAcentral lists this unclassified non-coding RNA (250 nucleotides) under Acromyrmex echinatior (Panamanian leafcutter ant). Its description in RNAcentral is "small integral membrane protein 13, transcript variant X1". The record is from RNAcentral. Lineage: Eukaryota; Metazoa; Arthropoda; Insecta; Hymenoptera; Formicidae.
ACGCCAACCCAACUUGCUCCAACUCCGAAAUCAGAAUGGAUGUCAUGUAACGUUAGGUUAGAUGCAUUCGCUUGUCCGCGGGGUUCGCGGGAUUGUUCGUCGGUAAGACUGAUAGAAAUCGUAGAAAGAAUUGAGAAGCUCACGGAGAUGAUGUUAGCCAAGACGUCUACCUAAGCUGCAUCGAGACCUCGGUUGGUAUUUAGUUUGGACGUUCUUCCUAUCACGGUUUCGCUUUGUGAGAGAGUUAACG